Molecule: ribosomal RNA, 349 nt
Filed under: uncultured bacterium
Lineage: Bacteria
Description: bacterial SSU rRNA
Rfam family: Bacterial small subunit ribosomal RNA
Source: RNAcentral
AACGAACGCUGGCGGCAGGCCUAACACAUGCAAGUCGAACGCCCUAGCAAUAGGGAGUGGCGCACGGGUGCGUAACGCGUGGGAAUAUGCCCUUCACUGCGGAAUAACGUUUGGAAACGAACGCUAAUACCGCAUAAUGACUCCGGUCCAAAGAUUUAUCGGUGAAGGAUUAGCCCGCGUUAGAUUAGCUAGUUGGUGAGGUAAUGGCUCACCAAGGCGACGAUCUAUAGCUGGUCUGAGAGGAUGAUCAGCCACACUAGGACUGAGACACGGCCCAGACUCCUACGGGAGCAGCAGUGAGGAAUAUUGGACAAUGGGCGCAAGCCUGAUCCAGCCAUGCCGCGUGAGU